Molecule: long non-coding RNA, 285 nt
Filed under: Capsicum annuum
Lineage: Eukaryota; Viridiplantae; Streptophyta; Magnoliopsida; Solanales; Solanaceae
Description: long non-coding RNA (CANN_LNC000167)
Source: RNAcentral
UUGGAACUACAUAUGACCUGAUUCUCUUAUAACCCGAGAUAUGUAGGAGGCCCAAAGCUAGGGCUCGGUCAUACCUCUUUCCCACUUAUUUACGUAUUAAUAUUGAAUAAAGGGUUGGGCCAAAAAUUAGUCAUGUUUACUUCUUUGAUUGAAAAUUCUUCAUAUUUUCAAGCAAAGAGGGGCAUUCUGUAAACAUCUAAUUUUUUACCAAACCUAAGUGUCUUUGCCAUUAUAGUGUUCAAUUUCGUUUUAGGGUCUAAAUAGGAUAUUUUAAAUUUAUCUUAU